Molecule: ribosomal RNA, 465 nt
Filed under: Vreelandella stevensii
Lineage: Bacteria; Pseudomonadati; Pseudomonadota; Gammaproteobacteria; Oceanospirillales; Halomonadaceae
Description: partial 16S ribosomal RNA
Rfam family: Bacterial small subunit ribosomal RNA
Source: RNAcentral
CCUACGGGCGGCUGCAGUGGGGAAUAUUGGACAAUGGGGGCAACCCUGAUCCAGCCAUGCCGUGUGUGUGAAGAAGGCCCUCGGGUUGUAAAGCACUUUCAGUGAGGAAGAACGCCUGGUGGUUAAUACCCAUCAGGAAAGACAUCACUCACAGAAGAAGCACCGGCUAACUCCGUGCCAGCAGCCGCGGUAAUACGGAGGGUGCGAGCGUUAAUCGGAAUUACUGGGCGUAAAGCGCGCGUAGGUGGCUUGAUAAGCCGGUUGUGAAAGCCCCGGGCUCAACCUGGGAACGGCAUCCGGAACUGUCAAGCUAGAGUGCAGGAGAGGAAGGUAGAUUUCCCGGUGUAGCGGUGAAAUGCGUAGAGAUCGGGAGGAAUACCAGUGGCGAAGGCGGCCUUCUGGACUGACACUGACACUGAGGUGCGAAAGCGUGGGUAGCAAACAGGAUUAGAUACCCUAGUAGUC